This 3373-nucleotide long non-coding RNA is filed under the name Olea europaea subsp. europaea. Lineage: Eukaryota; Viridiplantae; Streptophyta; Magnoliopsida; Lamiales; Oleaceae. The record is from RNAcentral.
CUAUUCUCUGGUUACUGCUAGUGCAGCAAAAUUUGCUACUGCACAUUUUAACCCAACUACAGUGAUUGGAGCUAAAAUUCCGCAUAGUGCCAUCUGCUUUUUGUAAAGUUUGAACAGUGAUAGUUGCAAAAGUGACCUGACACAUUUGGCUUGAUAGGGAAAAUUUGGACAUGUCACAACCUACUCCAGUUUUAGUUUGGCCAUGGAUCCGUUUGUGGAACAGUGUGGUUUUUGUUUUUUCCUUCCGUAAUUGAGUGUGAAAUGCGUGAAUGAAUUUAACAGCAUAUAGCAUCUUCGAACGCAUAAUGAACAAGUGGAGAAAAGUGCGUAACAAAAAUACAACAGUUUUCAUACAGGCAGCAAAGGAAAAAAAAAAGGCACACAGUCACUGGCAUUGUUACUUCCCACGGUCAUUAAACAUCCACUCAAUCCACUCAAAUUUCUUAUCUGCGUCUUUCAUGAUGGCAAGCAUGUCACGGUAUCGCUUCUGGGCUAGAAGCUGGCAUGUGAAGAAGUAAAGAGGUGUUCGCCGCUCGAGGCAGCCUGUCACUAACAACUCUUGGAUGCAGUCCAUCCCAGCGGUUUCAUUUGAAGCCAUCAUCGUAUGAAUCUUUGCCGCCACUUCCUCCGCCACACUGGUGGUACGAUCUACUUAGAAUAACAAUUCACGAGCGGACAUAUUUUUCUUCCUGGCCCUGCGCUGCCCACUGGACGACUUCCUUUUACUGCCGCUUGUUGUGCUCGAAACGUUCACGCGAUCACCGGCCCCCGCCUGUUCGGCCUCGUCGCUCGAACCACUACCCUCUCCGUCCACCAAGAUUGCAUCCCUAGUGUUCUCAAGCGCACUAUCCUCGUACAUGCUGAAUCUUCUUCUGCACAACUUCAUUGGAGUCAUAGCAUACUUGUCUCCAUCGUAGCUGUCGUCGAAUAGCUAACGGUACUUUAUGUAUAUCUCACUGACGUCCUUGUCCUUGAAGUCUUUAUAAUCCUUGUUCUCCUGCACAGCACAGGUUCAGCAAUGAGAGUACCAUUGUGAAACGUAAUUCGCCAUGUGUCAAAACAAAGAAACAACUCUACAGAGGUGUAAUAUAGGGCAUGAAGUUAACGACACGAGCAAUUCAUUGCAUGCACAGGAAUCAAUCCACAAUUAUAUUCGAAGUGUUAAAUAAUCCCAUUAGCAUGUAAGAAACACGUUGUUGUGGUUGAGAAAAAUGUUAUAGCACGAGGUUUUGAAGAAAUGAAAACCCAGUAAAGAACGACAGGUAAAAACCAUGAAGACGUAUCACACAAGACACAACCAUCGAAUUGAGCAAGCAAAUCAAUGAACACUCGAAUCUGAAAUGAGUAGCGGUCGAACAAUCACAACACUGCUGUAAUGAACUUUGCAGCGCAACCAACAUUUACAAUAUAGUGCAUUGUCAAGUUCCAACAACCGGUGGAAGUAAAAAGAAUCUCAAAGCAUAAACACCUAAGGCAAUACAAUAAUGUUGAAACUGAAAUUAGAAAAAAUCUAACAAUAAUUUUGGUAAAUGCAUUGUUCAUUUUCGGCAAUGUAAAGCCACAGUCCAGGGGAUAAUAUGUUGUAUGAUGCACAUGUGAACAAACAUCAAUUUUACCACCGGAAAGGCAAUCACUAGUCAUGUAGUCAGUCUUGUCCAUAAUCGGGUUAAGGUGAAACUGGGAGUCCAUUACCUGAAUCUUCUUGUGCCACCAUUCUUCAGAAACAACUAUUCGGUCGGUAGCGUCGUUAUACUCGAUUCUGCUGUUGUUGACAAGCUUCGAUAGAUGCUUGUAUAUUCGACGCAUUUAAUACCAAUGAUUUCGUAGCUGCUAGUGGGUCCAGUUAUGGCUGGUCACGGAGUCGAAGAGUGAGGCGACUCGUUCUCACCCAUGUUUUGUAAAACACCGACCGUUCUGAUGCCCUUCAGCAAUGGCGAUCUCGCAUGCAACAAUGAAAGCUUGGGUGGGUGCCGAGCUCCAACGAGCGUAGGACUUUGAGGCCAUCUGUCACACCGUCCCCAUCGCUGAGUUGGAAUGUCCGUGAGUGAAAUCCCUUGGCUGGGAAGUGGAAGAGUUGGUCUUUAACAGUACAAAAACCAAGGGGAAGUGGAAGAUGGAAAGAUAACGCAAUAUUUGUACCUAUUUUUUGGAUUCAUCCAUUGUCGAUCACUAUCACUACGUCGAUCAAGCGUUGUUGUGGAGUGUGGUUUGAGUGGAACCGAUGACAGUUGCUGUGGGAAGUCGUCCAUGUGUGGGAAGGUGAAAGUCGACAUCGAUAGUGCGAUUGCUAAAAUUUUUGGCCUGUGUUUUGGGUGCUCUUCGCCGGGUUAGAAGACGAAUGUGGGAAAAGGAAAGUGUCGGUGGGAGGGGAUGUUGAGGGAAAGAGAAAAUUUACUGACUAUACAAUUUGUCAGACAAGUGGGUGGCAACGUUCGAUUAAUUCAUUUUAGGCAGAGAAAAAUGGCAACCAAAGAGAAUCUUUUUCAGUACUGUGGAUGCGAUAUUUAUAAGAUGUGGCCCACGACAAGAUGAAGAUGCUGACCUACCUCAUAGAUCCUAUUAUCCCAGCAUCGACACAGAAGGGUUUGCAUAUCUACUCUGACACAGAAUGUACUACAAUAUACCAAGAAUCAAAUUGUGACAAACCUUCAGAUGCCCAUGAACCAGUCUAGCCUUCUCGCAAUCACCAUAUCUGCCAAAUUAUCUGUUAUCAGGUCAUAAACCUAUCCCUGGGUACAACAUAGAAAGGCCAAAACCAACCUUCUGUCACACGAAGCCUCCCAUCAAGAACUGCUGCAUCACACAAGUUCAUGUUUGCAAUAGAACGCUAGGUUCCUUUGAUAGGAUCUAGGACUUCAGCCGCUUUAAGCUCCAACAUAUAAGUGCAUUGGCAGACCCACAUUGGAUCGUAGUGGGUCAAGUGACCCACCAGCUUUAGAUGAAAGAAAAGUCUCCUUCCAUUACCAAACAUUGGAUCCUAAUGGGUCAAGUGACCCACCAGACCCACAUUUUUUUUGGUGGUAGUGGUGAUUGUUUUAAUAGGCUCCAAAAUUACGAAGAAAGAAGAGUGUCCUUCCAUUACCAAAUAGCAAUUGAAUUGAUUGUUUUCAUUGGUAAACUUGUAAUUAUUGAUAAACGGAUUAUUUUUUUCACUCGAAUUAAUCGUUUUAAUUGGUUGUUUGUAUCAAGUAUAGAAAAGUACGUUAAAUGUAAAUCUGAGUUUAAAGUAUUGAAAAUAAUAUAAUUAUGGAACGUUAGAACGCAUAGAGAACAGUUGUCAUAAGAUAUCAAAUAUAUUAAACUUUUAGUAACUUUUUUAUAAGUUUGAUUGUGUUUCAAUGACUCUAAAUAUCUACGUCUGUCACUGUAUAAG